Molecule: ribosomal RNA, 468 nt
Filed under: uncultured bacterium
Lineage: Bacteria
Description: partial 16S ribosomal RNA
Rfam family: Bacterial small subunit ribosomal RNA
Source: RNAcentral
GACGAACGCUGGCGGCGUGCUUAACACAUGCAAGUCGAACGGAAAGGCCCUGCUUUUGUGGGGUGUUCGAGUGGCGAACGGGUGAGUAACACGUGAGUAACCUGCCCUUGACUUUGGGAUAACUUCAGGAAACUGGGGCUAAUACCGGAUAGGAGCUCCUGCCGCAUGGUGGGGGUUGGAAAGUUUCGGCGGUUGGGGAUGGACUCGCGGCUUAUCAGCUUGUUGGUGGGGUAGUGGCUUACCAAGGCUUUGACGGGUAGCCGGCCUGAGAGGGUGACCGGCCACAUUGGGACUGAGAUACGGCCCAGACUCCUACGGGAGGCAGCAGUGGGGAAUAUUGCACAAUGGGCGGAAGCCUGAUGCAGCAACGCCGCGUGCGGGAUGACGGCCUUCGGGUUGUAAACCGCUUUCGCCUGUGACGAAGCGUGAGUGACGGUAAUGGGUAAAGAAGCACCGGCUAACUACGUG